AAGUCGUAACAAGGUUUCCGUAGGUGAACCUGCGGAAGGAUCAUUAACACUCCAAAACAAACUCAUUACUCUUGGCAACAAGGGUAUAUGAAACCCUAUUCACAAGCGAACCCGAAGGGGAAUUGGGAGGGCGAGACUUUCCGUUUCAACCUCUCUCUUUCUCCUUCACUUUCCUUUUGUCCCUUUUUUCUUUAAGCCCCACAUAUUUUACUUUUAGACUGACUGAGACGCAAGUCUCGUUGUACUUCGAAAGAAGUGCAAUGAAAAUCGAUAAGAUUAACAAAAAAACAACUCUUAGCAACGGAUAUCUUGGUUCUC
Molecule: unclassified non-coding RNA, 318 nt
Filed under: fungal sp.
Lineage: Eukaryota; Fungi
Description: partial internal transcribed spacer region
Rfam family: Eukaryotic small subunit ribosomal RNA (bases 1-46)
Source: RNAcentral